This is a small nuclear RNA of Phodopus roborovskii (desert hamster), 106 nucleotides long. The record is from RefSeq and is a predicted model, not a curated record. Lineage: Eukaryota; Metazoa; Chordata; Mammalia; Rodentia; Cricetidae.
ACGCUCAUUCGGUAGUAUAUCUUCUAAAACUACAGUGACACAGAGAAAAUUCACAUGGCCCCUGCACAAGGAUAACACACACAUUUGUGAAGCAUUCCAUACUUUU